This 522-nucleotide long non-coding RNA is filed under the name Neogobius melanostomus (round goby). RNAcentral describes it as "lncRNA (ENSNMLG00000026202.1)". Lineage: Eukaryota; Metazoa; Chordata; Actinopteri; Gobiiformes; Gobiidae. The record is from RNAcentral.
CUCUUUAUCCCAGACCGUACGGCUCACUGGGGCUGAGCGUGGCAGUGACAGGGAUGUGCACAGCUGACUGACUGACUGAGUGACGGGUUUGUUUUCACUUUGGGGAUUACACAGGAUACAGCUGGACACUUGGGGACAUUGAAGGAAGGGUGCACUAAAAAAAGCCAGACGCCAUGCAACAGAAUGACUUUGCCCAGGAUGCAAACCAGCUGGAGGAGAAAUACCAGGAUGAGUCACCCAGAGGAGAACCGGUCCAGUUGGAGUCCCCAGAUGCCGCCCCGUUCAGCUGCCUGGAUCACUUGGUGGUGCGGAGGCAUUCAUGUCGCACCAUGCAGCUGCCGCCCUUGGCUUUCAGGCUGGCGGAGCAGGCCUAUUACGACCGUACACCUGAACCGACCCCCAUGACAGUACCCUCCCGGCCGACCACUCUGUCUCUGCUGCCCCCCAUUAUUAACAUCACCGCCGCGGACUCCACCAGAAGGCGGGGUCAGUGAACCAGUCAGCCAAUCAGCACGACUCGUG